Leucosporidium creatinivorum is the source of this 104-nucleotide transfer RNA. It matches the Rfam family "tRNA". From Rfam's summary of the family: Transfer RNA (tRNA) molecules are approximately 80 nucleotides in length. Their secondary structure includes four short double-helical elements and three loops (D, anti-codon, and T loops). NCBI's taxonomy places the organism in Eukaryota, Fungi, Basidiomycota, Microbotryomycetes, Leucosporidiales, Leucosporidiaceae. The record is from Rfam.
GCCCCGAUGGUCUAGUUGGUUAGGAUUUGGGUCUCAUAUUCUACAUAUGAUUGCUGUUUCGGCAAGUAAUCCCGCGGUCGAGAGUUCGAUCCUCUCUCGGGGCA